AAGUCUACAUAUAUGUAGACCUCCUACGAAGUCUACCCUAUAGACUUAUUAUGUAGUCUACACCAUAAUUUGAUCUAAUAAUUGAAUUUUUAAAAUGUAUACAAAAUAAUUGUUGUGAUAAUUUUAAUUAAUCAUCAAUAUAAUGGAUAAUAUGAAGUAAAUAAAUUAAAAUUUCAUAUAAUUGAACAAUUUAAAGAGUAUAUACUAAUUUGGUAACCAUGUGUUAGAUAAUGUUCAUGGUUUAGAAACAAAAGGUUCUAACAUGUUAGAUAAUGUAUCUCAGCUGAUAUAACUCUUUGUAUAUUCAUUCAGCAAACUUUGGGAUGCAUUAAUAGGGUUGUCCCUCAUUUUCUUGAUCACAAGCAUAUGGGAUGUGCUUGAUUCUAAGCUGCUCAAAGGCUGUAUAUUAUGAUCGCAGGACUGAAAUACUGGUGCGAAGAGCUUUUUUUUUUAUGAAUUCACAUGGUUAACAGCCAUCAUGUGGGUAAGAAGAAAAAAAUGUGUCUGCUAGGCCUCUUCUAUUUACGUAUAUGGGUGCUACUUUGACUUUCUAGAUCAAUAUUCUCUAAAUAUGUGUGUUUAAUGUAUUUUUAUAUAUAAA
Molecule: long non-coding RNA, 601 nt
Organism: Brassica napus (rape)
Lineage: Eukaryota; Viridiplantae; Streptophyta; Magnoliopsida; Brassicales; Brassicaceae
Exons: 2
Source: RefSeq, a predicted model, not a curated record